GGGAGCUGAUUUCGUCCGGGAAAUGUCUUUUCUUGGACUGAAGGGAGCUCCC
Molecule: microRNA precursor, 52 nt
Filed under: Picea abies (Norway spruce)
Lineage: Eukaryota; Viridiplantae; Streptophyta; Pinopsida; Pinales; Pinaceae
Description: miR319i stem-loop (pab-MIR319i)
Gene: pab-MIR319i
Source: miRBase by way of RNAcentral